AUCCUGGCUCAGGACGAACGCUGGCGGCGUGCCUAAUACAUGCAAGUCGAACGCUUCUUUUCCCACCGGAGCUUGCUCCACCGGGAAAAGAGGAGUGGCGAACGGGUGAGUAACACGUGGGUAACCUGCCCAUCAGAAGGGGAUAACACUUGGAAACAGGUGCUAAUACCGUAUAACAAUCGAAACCGCAUGGUUUCGUUUUGAAAGGCGCUUUACGGUGCCGCUGAUGGAUGGACCCGCGGUGCAUUAGCUAGUUGGUGAGGUAACGGCUCACCAAGGCCACGAUGCAUAGCCGACCUGAGAGGGUGAUCGGCCACAUUGGGACUGAGACACGGCCCAAACUCCUACGGGAGGCAGCAGUAGGGAAUCUUCGGCAAUGGACGAAAGUCUGACCGAGCAACGCCGCGUGAGUGAAGAAGGUUUUCGGAUCGUAAAACUCUGUUGUUAGAGAAGAACAAGGGUGAGAGUAACUGUUCACCCCUUGACGGUAUCUAACCAGAAAGCCACGGCUAACUACGUGCCAGCAGCCGCGGUAAUACGUAGGUGGCAAGCGUUGUCCGGAUUUAUUGGGCGUAAAGCGAGCGCAGGCGGUUUCUUAAGUCUGAUGUGAAAGCCCCCGGCUCAACCGGGGAGGGUCAUUGGAAACUGGGAGACUUGAGUGCAGAAGAGGAGAGUGGAAUUCCAUGUGUAGCGGUGAAAUGCGUAGAUAUAUGGAGGAACACCAGUGGCGAAGGCGGCUCUCUGGUCUGUAACUGACGCUGAGGCUCGAAAGCGUGGGGAGCAAACAGGAUUAGAUACCCUGGUAGUCCACGCCGUAAACGAUGAGUGCUAAGUGUUGGAGGGUUUCCGCCCUUCAGUGCUGCAGCUAACGCAUUAAGCACUCCGCCUGGGGAGUACGACCGCAAGGUUGAAACUCAAAGGAAUUGACGGGGGCCCGCACAAGCGGUGGAGCAUGUGGUUUAAUUCGAAGCAACGCGAAGAACCUUACCAGGUCUUGACAUCCUUUGACCACUCUAGAGAUAGAGCUUCCCCUUCGGGGGCAAAGUGACAGGUGGUGCAUGGUUGUCGUCAGCUCGUGUCGUGAGAUGUUGGGUUAAGUCCCGCAACGAGCGCAACCCUUAUUGUUAGUUGCCAUCAUUUAGUUGGGCACUCUAGCAAGACUGCCGGUGACAAACCGGAGGAAGGUGGGGAUGACGUCAAAUCAUCAUGCCCCUUAUGACCUGGGCUACACACGUGCUACAAUGGGAAGUACAACGAGUCGCGAAGUCGCGAGGCUAAGCUAAUCUCUUAAAGCUUCUCUCAGUUCGGAUUGUAGGCUGCAACUCGCCUACAUGAAGCCGGAAUCGCUAGUAAUCGCGGAUCAGCACGCCGCGGUGAAUACGUUCCCGGGCCUUGUACACACCGCCCGUCACACCACGAGAGUUUGUAACACCCGAAGUCGGUGAGGUAACCUUUUUGGAGCCAGCCGCCUAAGGUGGGAUAGAUGAUUGGGGUGAAGUCGUAACAAGGUUAACCGUA
RNAcentral lists this ribosomal RNA (1518 nucleotides) under Enterococcus mundtii. RNAcentral's name for it is "bacterial SSU rRNA". It matches the Rfam family "Bacterial small subunit ribosomal RNA". Lineage: Bacteria; Bacillati; Bacillota; Bacilli; Lactobacillales; Enterococcaceae. The record is from RNAcentral.